Molecule: long non-coding RNA, 494 nt
Filed under: Junco hyemalis (dark-eyed junco)
Lineage: Eukaryota; Metazoa; Chordata; Aves; Passeriformes; Passerellidae
Description: lncRNA (ENSJHYG00000002424.1)
Source: RNAcentral
GGGGUCAAGGAUGGACUCUGGUCCCCAAGUGUCCCCUCCCUGCUGGUGUGGGGUCAAGGAUGGACUCUGGUCCCCAAGUGCCACCUCCCUGCCAUCACAGGGAGGACAGGAUUGGGGACAAGCUCCUGUCCCCAGGUGCCACCUCUCUGCUGUCACAGCCUUGGGGACACCACCAAGUCCAGGACAAGCUCCUGUCCCCAGGUGCCACCAACCAGGGCCUGGGGACACUUGUGGUGACACUGGGGACCCCCAGGACCCUCCAAACUCCCCAGGACCAGGAGCCCCCUUGUCCCCCCCAACCUGGGUGGCACUGGGGACAGCCAUGUCCCCUCUCCCAUGGGUUGGUGGCACUGGGGACAGCCGUGUCCCCUUUCCCAUGGGUUGGUGGCACUUGGGGACAGCCGUGUCCCCUCCCCCCCGGGUGGGGGAGGGGCUGUACAGCCGUGUAUAGACCCUGUAAAUAAAGGACCCGCGGGACUGGGACCGGUGUGACA